GUAGGGAAUAUUGGGCAAUGGAUGCAAGUCUGACCCAGCCAUCCCGCGUGCCGGAAGAAGGCCCUCAGGGUUGUAAACGGCUUUUGACGGUGAAGAAUCGACAGGAUGCGUCCUGUUUUGACGGUAGCCGUUGAAUAAGCACCGGCUAACUCCGUGCCAGCAGCCGCGGUAAUACGGAGGGUGCGAGCGUUGUCCGGAUUUAUUGGGUUUAAAGGGUGCGUAGGCUGGAAGGUCAGUCAGCGGUGAAAAGCUGUCGCUUAACGAUAGUCUUGCCGCAGAUACUUCCUUUCUUGGAUGUGGAGGAGGCCACUGGAACGGAUGGUGUAGCGGUGAAAUGCAUAGAUAUCAUCCAGAACACCGAUUGCGAAGGCAGGUGGCUGUACCUUAAUCGACGCUGAUGCACGAAAGCAUGGGGAGCAAACAGGAUUAGAAACCCGGGUAGUCC
RNAcentral lists this ribosomal RNA (445 nucleotides) under uncultured bacterium. RNAcentral's name for it is "partial 16S ribosomal RNA". It matches the Rfam family "Bacterial small subunit ribosomal RNA", at positions 354 to 796 of the family's 1533-position model. The record is from RNAcentral.